AUGAAAGUGAACUCUUUAAGGGCAUACGAUACAGUUACAGGGAAGGUAAUGACGUUGCUAACGUAAAGUGUUAUUUUCGCGACGUCAAACUCUGACAUAUCGGGAAAAGAUGCAUUUUUCGACUGAUUUUUAUCAUUCAAACUGAUUUAAUUUGAAAACGAGUGCAUGGACCCCUAUUUUUUUAAAACAGCAAUUUGUUUCAUUUUGCAAGGAGAUUAUGUGACCCAAAUUUUAUAAAACUGUAAAUAGCGC
This 252-nucleotide long non-coding RNA is filed under the name Mytilus galloprovincialis (Mediterranean mussel). The record is from RNAcentral. Lineage: Eukaryota; Metazoa; Mollusca; Bivalvia; Mytilida; Mytilidae.